UGUUGUAUUUUCCGUCCCUGUCUUUGUUCCCGUCGAGUUCACCAACGCCGUCGUUGUUGUAGUCGGCGUGUCCCGUAUACUGGGAGGAUCGGCGAGUAUUGCUGCUAAUUGUUCCUAAAGAAAAAUCGCUCGCAGAAUAAAGUUAACGAGUUGAGAUGGGAAAGAUUGCAACAGGGUUUUACCUUUCGAUUCUUUAUUUCAAUGAAAAGAAAAAAGAAAAAAAAAAAGACAAAAAGAAGAACUAUAUAUAACGUUAACAAAAACAGCGAUAUUAUCUAUAUAUUAAGUAUAAUAAAUCUCGUUGAAAUAUUAAAAGAAUAAAAAAAAAAGUUAAAACAAAUGUCGUUGAAAGAACCGUGCCGAUAAUUCUCUUCUUUUUUUUACUCGUUCGGUAUCUUCGGUUUCUAGAGGGUGAACAAGGAUGAAAAAAAAAGAAGAGGAAGGAAAAAGGGAAAAGAAGAGGUAAAAUAAGAUCAUUCCAAGGAUUCAUGCGAGCAACGACGGACUGUCCUCGUGCAAAGACGUCGUCGAGCCCGUCGUCGUCCUCGUCUUCGUCGCCGACGUCGGACCGAGUACUUACGCACCAGCAACCUACUCGUGUUCGUUCCGAGUUUCCGUACCACAGAACGGAUCGUCACGGACAUCUGCUUCGUCUUCGCUGUCUCUCCCUUUUCGAUUAUAGAUACCGCCUACGCAUCAAAAUCAAAUCCUUUGCCAAUUCUCUAUCUCAUUUUGUAAUUGUCAAUUCAUCGUUAUCUUUUUUUUUUAUUUUUCUAUUGUCUUAAGAAGAACCGAGUCGAUAGGAGUAAGAUAUUGUGUUAUAUAAUAUUAAAAUUAUAUGUGCAUGUAUCUAUUAUUAUUCAUUAGGGUGGUUCCAAGUAGAUUUGAAUCUCUUUUCUUUUUUAGAAAAAAAAAAAAAGGAAAUAUUCCAUUAAUUUAACCAAGAUUCAUUAAUACAAAUCAGAAUCGUAAUCCAUAUUAUAUAUUGUCGCUUCGAAAUUCUGUUCUAUGUUGUAAUUAUUAUGCAUCGCAGAAGUGAUAUAAUAUUUGAUACGGUAGAGACCGUAAUCGACGAUGAAGAAAGGAAAGAAAAGAGAGCUCAGAUCGACCUCGAACCAUUUUCGAAAUCGGCCAAAUUCGGAUCUAAGAUUCGGAGAUUCGACCUUCAAAGUGGCAUCCGUUAGCGUCAGUAAACGGCGGGAAAUCCUGAUGAGAAGUUUGCCAAUCCAUCGUGGGGUUUUAGCGGCUAGAGAUGUUGCACCAUUCACGAGAUGAACUAUGCGUCUUGCUGAUUCUCUUGUCAAUAGGACGAGCAAUUGUUCCAAGGUUGCUGGACGUGCUUGAUUCUCAGGUUCGGGUAAGCUCAAUAUGUUCCAUAAUUCUUUAGCUUUCUGCAAAGCUAAUUUUGGAUCCGUUGCAAGCUAACAAAGAGACGAAAUUAUUUAUAAUUUAAUGAAAGUUGCAAUUUUUGAUAUUAUAAAGAGAAACCAAGAACUUACCAAUUCUAUUACAUAGAAAAACACGUGAAUGCAUUCAGUGCCUUGUUCUUUGAGAGCACGAGCCUCAGCCAAUGUACGACGUGUCAAUCUCCUUUGUAAUUUUAUUGAAAAUCUUGCACCGUGCUUAAUCGUACGAGUCGUCUUGCUGACAGGUUCGUUCAUAUCAACUUCUGUUAGAUAAAAACAUAAAAAAUAAAAAAAUAAAAAGAAU
Molecule: long non-coding RNA, 1710 nt
Organism: Vespula pensylvanica (western yellowjacket)
Lineage: Eukaryota; Metazoa; Arthropoda; Insecta; Hymenoptera; Vespidae
Exons: 2
Source: RefSeq, a predicted model, not a curated record